CCUACGGGAGGCUGCAGUGAGGAAUAUUGGUCAAUGGGCGAGAGCCUGAACCAGCCAAGUCGCGUGAGGGAAGACGGUCCUAUGGAUUGUAAACCUCUUUUGCCGGGGAGCAAAACGCGGUACGUGUACCGCAUCGAGAGUACCCGGAGAAAAAGCAUCGGCUAACUCCGUGCCAGCAGCCGCGGUAAUACGGAGGAUGCGAGCGUUAUCCGGAUUUAUUGGGUUUAAAGGGUGCGCAGGCGGCGAGUUAAGUCAGCGGUAAAAUUUCGGGGCUCAACCCCGACAAGCCGUUGAAACUGGCGUGCUAGAGUGGGCGAGAAGUAGGCGGAAUGCGUGGUGUAGCGGUGAAAUGCAUAGAUAUCACGCAGAACUCCGAUUGCGAAGGCAGCAUACCGGCGCCCAACUGACGCUCAGGCACGAAAGCGUGGGUAUCGAACAGGAUUAGAUACCCCAGUAGUC
This 459-nucleotide ribosomal RNA is filed under the name uncultured bacterium. Its description in RNAcentral is "partial 16S ribosomal RNA". It matches the Rfam family "Bacterial small subunit ribosomal RNA", at positions 338 to 795 of the family's 1533-position model. The record is from RNAcentral.